Molecule: non-coding RNA, 101 nt
Organism: Xylaria intraflava
Lineage: Eukaryota; Fungi; Ascomycota; Sordariomycetes; Xylariales; Xylariaceae
Source: the annotation of a GenBank genome assembly
UCUCGAUUGGUCUAGUGGUCAGGAUACCUGCUUGUCAUCUCGAAGAUGGUUCAUCUUCCGGCAAGUCGCAGGUGGCCGGGGUUCGAUUCCCCGAUCGAGAG